This 871-nucleotide ribosomal RNA is filed under the name Penicillium brevicompactum. Its description in RNAcentral is "LSU rRNA". It matches the Rfam family "Eukaryotic large subunit ribosomal RNA", at positions 37 to 925 of the family's 3401-position model. Lineage: Eukaryota; Fungi; Ascomycota; Eurotiomycetes; Eurotiales; Aspergillaceae. The record is from RNAcentral.
AGCAUAUCAAUAAGCGGAGGAAAAGAAACCAACAGGGAUUACCUCAGUAACGGCGAGUGAAGCGGUAAGAGCUCAAAUUUGAAAGCUGGCUCCUUCGGGGUCCGCAUUGUAAUUUGCAGAGGAUGCUUCGGGAGCGGUCCCCAUCUAAGUGCCCUGGAACGGGACGUCAUAGAGGGUGAGAAUCCCGUAUGGGAUGGGGUGUCCGCGCCCGUGUGAAGCUCCUUCGACGAGUCGAGUUGUUUGGGAAUGCAGCUCUAAAUGGGUGGUAAAUUUCAUCUAAAGCUAAAUAUUGGCCGGAGACCGAUAGCGCACAAGUAGAGUGAUCGAAAGAUGAAAAGCACUUUGAAAAGAGAGUUAAAAAGCACGUGAAAUUGUUGAAAGGGAAGCGCUUGCGACCAGACUCGCUCGCGGGGUUCAGCCGGCAUUCGUGCCGGUGUACUUCCCCGCGAGCGGGCCAACGUCGGUUUGGGCGGUCAGUCAAAGGCCCCUGGAAGGUAACGCCCCCUCGGGGGCGUCUUAUAGCCAGGGGUGCAAUGUGGCCUGCCUGGACCGAGGAACGCGCUUCGGCUCGGACGUUGGCAUAAUGGUCGUAAGCGACCCGUCUUGAAACACGGACCAAGGAGUCUAACAUCUACGCGAGUGUUCGGGUGUCAAACCCGUGCGCGAAGUGAAAGCGAACGGAGGUGGGAACCCGCAAGGGUGCACCAUCGACCGAUCCUGAAGUCUUCGGAUGGAUUUGAGUAAGAGCGUAGCUGUUGGGACCCCGAAAGAUGGUGAACUAUGCCUGAAUAGGGCGAAGCCAGAGGAAACUCUGGUGGAGGCUCGUAGCGGUUCUGACGUGCAAAUCGAUCGUCGAAUUGGGUAUAGGGCG